UUAAAGUGUAGUUAUGGUUUUCCAUGUUCAACGUUUGACCGCUUAUAUUAUUUAAAAUUUUUCUGUGAUUAGCAUUUUUCUCUAUUAGAUAAUAAAAUAAAAAUAUUAUUUUAUACGUAAUUUAUUUUUAAAUUUUUUAAUAAGACGAACAGUUAAAUUUAGACAUGAAUACCCACAGUAGGUCGAAAU
Molecule: microRNA precursor, 189 nt
Organism: Oryza sativa Japonica Group (Japanese rice)
Lineage: Eukaryota; Viridiplantae; Streptophyta; Magnoliopsida; Poales; Poaceae
Rfam family: MIR812 microRNA precursor family
Source: Rfam